Molecule: ribosomal RNA, 334 nt
Filed under: uncultured Vibrio sp.
Lineage: Bacteria; Pseudomonadati; Pseudomonadota; Gammaproteobacteria; Vibrionales; Vibrionaceae
Description: bacterial SSU rRNA
Rfam family: Bacterial small subunit ribosomal RNA
Source: RNAcentral
UGCAAGUCGAGCGGAAACGACACUAACAAUCCUUCGGGUGCGUUAAUGGGCGUCGAGCGGCGGACGGGUGAGUAAUGCCUAGGAAAUUGCCUUGAUGUGGGGGAUAACCAUUGGAAACGAUGGCUAAUACCGCAUAAUGCCUACGGGCCAAAGAGGGGGAUCUUCGGACCUCUCGCGUCAAGAUAUGCCUAGGUGGGAUUAGCUAGUUGGUGAGGUAAUGGCUCACCAAGGCGACGAUCCCUAGCUGGUCUGAGAGGAUGAUCAGCCACACUGGAACUGAGACACGGUCCAGACUCCUACGGGAGGCAGCAGUGGGGAAUAUUGCACAAUGGGC